UUUGUAGAAGAAUGUUAACAACCACCUGGUGCCACCCUGCUGGUUAAACAAACAGAGCAUUGGGGGAAAAAAGCACAAAAUCUAGUGGUGCUUGUUUAACUUCCAUUUCUUUUUCCCAUUGACAUUGAAGCCUCCCUGCAGUCAACUUUGCUUUUAGCAGACAGAUUACACCAUUGUCCUUGAUUCCAGGGUGCUUUAUCAUGCAAGGGUAAUAGUGCAAGUCCACUGCUCCAGCCUACCCAAAACAAGAUCAGAGGGAACCUGGGGAAUCUUCAUUGUUUGGUUUUGUGUAACAGUAUCUGGUGAAAACUUCUGUUCCAAGACAUGGAGAUACCCAGCCAAUAAAAAGAACUAAUCAAUUACCAACUAUAUCCUUAUGACAGGUAGAAG
Molecule: long non-coding RNA, 390 nt
Filed under: Anser brachyrhynchus (Pink-footed goose)
Lineage: Eukaryota; Metazoa; Chordata; Aves; Anseriformes; Anatidae
Description: lncRNA (ENSABRG00000000509.1)
Source: RNAcentral